AGCCUCUACUAUGCAGACGGCACAGGGUCCCAGGGCCCUAGGGAGGAAGCCCGGUGAGAAUCCGGCGCGGUCCCGCCACUGUGAGUCCGGCCACGGAAACCGGACGAGUCAGGAACUCCCGCCGUCCUACGACCACCCGG
RNAcentral lists this non-coding RNA (140 nucleotides) under Streptomyces sp. Lineage: Bacteria; Bacillati; Actinomycetota; Actinomycetes; Kitasatosporales; Streptomycetaceae. The record is from RNAcentral.